RNAcentral lists this ribosomal RNA (472 nucleotides) under uncultured bacterium. RNAcentral's name for it is "partial 16S ribosomal RNA". It matches the Rfam family "Bacterial small subunit ribosomal RNA", at positions 28 to 507 of the family's 1533-position model. The record is from RNAcentral.
GACGAACGCUGGCGGCGUGCUUAACACAUGCAAGUCGAACGCUGAAGCUUGGUGCUUGCACUGGGUGGAUGAGUGGCGAACGGGUGAGUAAUACGUGAGUAACCUGCCCUUGACUCUGGGAUAAGCCUGGGAAACUGGGUCUAAUACUGGAUACGACAUGUCACCGCAUGGUGGUGUGUGGAAAGGGUUUUACUGGUUUUGGACGGGCUCACGGCCUAUCAGCUUGUUGGUGGGGUAAUGGCUCACCAAGGCGACGACGGGUAGCCGGCCUGAGAGGGUGACGGGCCACACUGGGACUGAGACAAGGCCCAGACUCCUACGGGAGGCAGCAGUGGGGAAGAUUGCACAAUGGGCGGAAGCCUGAUGCAGCGACGCCGCGUGAGGGAUGACGGCCUUCGGGUUGUAAACCUCUUUCAGCACGGAAGAAGCGAAAGUGACGGUACGUGCAGAAGAAGCGCCGGCUAACUACGUG